CAGUAGCCGCGGUAACACGUAGGUCCCGAGCGUUGUCCGGAUUUAUUGGGCGUAAAGCGAGCGCAGGCGGUUAGAUAAGUCUGAAGUUAAAGGCUGUGGCUUAACCAUAGUACGCUUUGGAAACUGUUUAACUUGAGUGCAAGAGGGGAGAGUGGAAUUCCAUGUGUAGCGGUGAAAUGCGUAGAUAUAUGGAGGAACACCGGUGGCGAAAGCGGCUCUCUGGCUUGUAACUGACGCUGAGGCUCGAAAGCGUGGGGAGCAAACAGGAUUAGAUACCCCAGUAGUCCCUGUCUCUUAUACA
This 301-nucleotide ribosomal RNA is filed under the name uncultured bacterium. Its description in RNAcentral is "partial 16S ribosomal RNA". It matches the Rfam family "Bacterial small subunit ribosomal RNA", at positions 509 to 808 of the family's 1533-position model. The record is from RNAcentral.